GACGAACGCUGGCGGCGUGCCUAAUACAUGCAAGUAGAACGCUGAAGAGAGGAGCUUACUCUUCUUGGAUGAGUUGCGAACGGGUGAGUAACGCGUAGGUAACCUGCCUUGUAGCGGGGGAUAACUAUUGGAGACGAUAGCUAAUACCGCAUAACAAUGGAUGACACAUGUCAUUUAUUUGAAAGGGGCAAUUGCUCCACUACAAGAUGGACCUGCGUUGUAUUAGCUAGUAGGUGAGGUAAUGGCUCACCUAGGCGACGAUACAUAGCCGACCUGAGAGGGUGAGCGGCCACACUGGGACUGAGACACGGCCCAGACUCCUACGGGAGGCAGCAGUAGGGAAUCUUCGGCAAUGGGGGCAACCCUGACCGAGCAACGCCGCGUGAGUGAAGAAGGUUUUCGGAUCGUAAAGCUCUGUUGUAAGUCAAGAACGGGUGUGAGAGUGGAAAGUUCACACUGUGACGGUAGCUUACCAGAAAGGGACGGCUAACUACGUG
This 497-nucleotide ribosomal RNA is filed under the name uncultured bacterium. Its description in RNAcentral is "partial 16S ribosomal RNA". It matches the Rfam family "Bacterial small subunit ribosomal RNA", at positions 28 to 507 of the family's 1533-position model. The record is from RNAcentral.